RNAcentral lists this transfer RNA (72 nucleotides) under Malassezia sympodialis ATCC 42132. Its description in RNAcentral is "tRNA-Val (CAC) (tRNA-Val-CAC-1-1, tRNA-Val-CAC-1-2)". It matches the Rfam family "tRNA". Rfam says of the family: Transfer RNA (tRNA) molecules are approximately 80 nucleotides in length. Their secondary structure includes four short double-helical elements and three loops (D, anti-codon, and T loops). Lineage: Eukaryota; Fungi; Basidiomycota; Malasseziomycetes; Malasseziales; Malasseziaceae. The record is from RNAcentral.
AGUCCAAUAGUUUAAUGGUUAUGACGUAUCCUUCACACGGAUAAGAUCCCGGUUCAAUUCCGGGUUGGACUA